Acomys russatus (golden spiny mouse) is the source of this 107-nucleotide small nuclear RNA. The record is from RefSeq and is a predicted model, not a curated record. Lineage: Eukaryota; Metazoa; Chordata; Mammalia; Rodentia; Muridae.
GUGCUCGUUUUGGCAGCACAUAUACUAAAAUUGGAACAAAAAAGAGAAGAUUUCCAUGUCCCUGGGCAAGGAGAACACAUAAAUUCAUGAAGCGUUUAUAUAUAUAU